This is a non-coding RNA of Favolaschia claudopus, 95 nucleotides long. The record is from the annotation of a GenBank genome assembly. NCBI's taxonomy places the organism in Eukaryota, Fungi, Basidiomycota, Agaricomycetes, Agaricales, Mycenaceae.
GGCCGUCUAGCUCAGUUGGUUAGAGCGUCGUGCUAAUAUGGGAUCGUAUAUCCUGAUUUACGCGAAGGUCUUGGGUUCGACCCCCACGAUGGCCA